This 274-nucleotide ribosomal RNA is filed under the name Anaerolineales bacterium. RNAcentral describes it as "partial 23S ribosomal RNA". It matches the Rfam family "Bacterial large subunit ribosomal RNA", at positions 2655 to 2925 of the family's 2925-position model. The record is from RNAcentral. Lineage: Bacteria; Bacillati; Chloroflexota; Anaerolineae; Anaerolineales.
AAGGGAUUUGAGAGGAGCUGCUCCUAGUACGAGAGGACCGGAGUGGACAGACCUCUGGUGUGCCAGUUGUCGUGCCAACGGCAUUGCUGGGUAGCUACGUCGGGCAGAGAUAACCGCUGAAAGCAUCUAAGUGGGAAACUCGCCUCAAGAUAAGAUCCCUGUAAUCCAGUUAAGGGAGUAAGACCGCAGGUAGACCACCUGCUAUAUAGGCAGCAAGUGUAAGCACAGUAAUGUGUUGAGCUAAGUUGUACUAAUGGUCGAGGGCUGAAUCCCG